CCUACGGGUGGUUGCAGUGGGGAAUAUUGGACAAUGGGCGAAAGCCUGAUCCAGCCAUGCCGCGUGUGUGAAGAAGGCCUUCGGGUUGUAAAGCACUUUCAGUGGGGAAGAAAGCCUUGGGGCUAAUACCCUCGAGGAAGGACAUCACCCACAGAAGAAGCACCGGCUAACUCCGUGCCAGCAGCCGCGGUAAUACGGAGGGUGCGAGCGUUAAUCGGAAUUACUGGGCGUAAAGCGCGCGUAGGCGGUCUGAUAAGCCGGUUGUGAAAGCCCCGGGCUCAACCUGGGAACGGCAUCCGGAACUGUCAGGCUAGAGUGCAGGAGAGGAAGGUAGAAUUCCCGGUGUAGCGGUGAAAUGCGUAGAGAUCGGGAGGAAUACCAGUGGCGAAGGCGGCCUUCUGGACUGACACUGACGCUGAGGUGCGAAAGCGUGGGUAGCAAACAGGAUUAGAUACCCCGGUAGU
Molecule: ribosomal RNA, 464 nt
Filed under: Vreelandella stevensii
Lineage: Bacteria; Pseudomonadati; Pseudomonadota; Gammaproteobacteria; Oceanospirillales; Halomonadaceae
Description: partial 16S ribosomal RNA
Rfam family: Bacterial small subunit ribosomal RNA
Source: RNAcentral